Brassica napus (rape) is the source of this 900-nucleotide RNA transcript. RefSeq lists it as uncharacterized. The transcript has 4 exons. The record is from RefSeq and is a predicted model, not a curated record. NCBI's taxonomy places the organism in Eukaryota, Viridiplantae, Streptophyta, Magnoliopsida, Brassicales, Brassicaceae.
CUACUUUCUUCCAAACGACGACCAUCGACUUCUUAGGGUUCAUGUGUUCUUCGAGAUAAUCGACAAUGGAGUUUCGGGAGAGUUAUCUGAGACGAAUCUUCAUGAGAAUCUCUGGAUCGAGAUGUGUUCGUGUCCUUUCGUCUGAGUUUCUUCUCCCCAUAACCGUUACGGCCAGAUGCAUUGAUUGAUUGGCAUUAACGACCUUAAAUCCUUCGACCUACUCCAAGAAAGAUUCCUCAUUCAAAGCAUCUCUCCUCUCUUCUCAACCUAAACAGGCUAUAUAAUGUCUGUGGAAUGCAUGGGUAUCAAUCUCGGAGAUAGACCAUUUUAUCACUCUGAAACGAAUCAGGUUGCUCUUGCAGAGGCAGAAACUGAAAGUAGCUUCCAUCUUGAAGGAGCAGAUGGGUUACCUAGAAGAAUGGUCUCUUAUGGAUAGAGAUCAUUCAGUUUCUUUGUUAGGAGCAAUUGAAGCCUUGAAAGCCAGCACGCUUCGUUUUCCAGUUAUUGAAAAAGCUGUGGUUGAUAUUCUAGAUCUCAAGCAUAUUGUUAGUUUGGCUGUUGUGCACGGUAUGGCAUCUUCCAUAUUCUCUCGCUGAUAUCAAAGGUAGAUGAAAUGAAUUCAGUAAUGGCGGAAAUGAUGCAUAUCACUGCACAAGAAACAGUCUUGCUCAAACAAUGUGAAGGAUUCUUAUCAGUAGCAGCAGCUAUGUAUGUUAAAAUAGUUGCAGAUUGACCAACUGGAAGAAGAAUAGGUUAAGGACUGUAGAAUGAAGACACACAUAAUACAACUAUGCCGGAAACUGACUUCACAACUGUAGAAACUGAUGGGUUUUCCAUGACUUGAUUUCCAAAGUUUUGUUUCAAGUUUUCAAUUUCAAUAAUUAAUACCAUUUAGAACAA